CAACAGCUAGCUUAUCAACCCAAUAACUAAACAAUAUAAAUAAGCAACAAACCUAAGACCAAAGGGGAAACCAUUCUUUUACCUGAGUAUGGGAGACAGAAAAGGUCCCACCAAAGCAAUAGAAAUAGUACCGCAAGGGAAAGCUGAAAGAGAAGUGAGACAACCCAUAUAAGCACAAAAAAGCAAAGAUUAAAUCUUGUACCUUUUGCAUCAUGAUUUAGCCAGUACACCCAAGCAAAGAGACCUUUAGUUUGAAACCCCGAAACCAGGUGAGCUACCCCGAGACAGCCUAUUAAGGGCCAACCCGUCUCUGUGGCAAAAGAGUGGGAAGAGCUCCGGGUAGAAGUGACAGACCUACCGAACCUGGUGAUAGCUGGUUGCCUAAGAGAUGAAUAGAAGUUCAGCCUCGUGCCCCCCAAAUCAAAACACAAACAAAAUACCAAGAGAAAUACACGAGAGUUAGUUAAAGGGGGUACAGCCCCUUUAACAAAGGACACAACCUUUCCAGAAGGAUAAAGAUCAUAAUACAUAAAACAUACUGUUCUAGUGGGCCUAAAAGCAGCCACCUAAACAGAAAGCGUUAAAGCUCAGACAGAAAGAAGUUUAUUAUACCGAUAAGAAAUCUUACUCCCCUAAAUAUUAUUAGGCCAACCCAUGCUCACAUGGAAGAGACUAUGCUAAAAUGAGUAACAAGAAGGCCCGCCCUUCUCCAAGCACAAGUGUAAGCCAAACCGGACUAACCAUUGGCAACUAACGAACUCAACCCCAGAGAGCGAUGUGAACUACAAAAAAAUCAAGAAAAACCCACAACCUACCCAUCGUUACCCCCACACUGGAGUGCAUUAAAGGAAAGACUAAAAGAAAGGGAAGGAACUCGGCAAACAUAAGCCUCGCCUGUUUACCAAAAACAUCGCCUCCUGCGACACAACCGAGUAUAGGAGGUCCAGCCUGCCCAGUGACCACAAGUUCAACGGCCGCGGUAUCCUGACCGUGCAAAGGUAGCGCAAUCACUUGUCUUUUAAAUAGAGACCUGUAUGAACGGCCAAACGAGGGCUUAACUGUCUCCCCUCUCAAGUCAGUGAAAUUGAUCUACCCGUGCAGAAGCGGG
RNAcentral lists this ribosomal RNA (1108 nucleotides) under Onychostoma barbatum (bearded shoveljaw carp). RNAcentral describes it as "partial large subunit ribosomal RNA". It matches the Rfam family "Bacterial large subunit ribosomal RNA", at positions 190 to 2065 of the family's 2925-position model. The record is from RNAcentral. Lineage: Eukaryota; Metazoa; Chordata; Actinopteri; Cypriniformes; Cyprinidae.